UUUUUUUUUUUUUUUUUAAAGACUAAAGCUACUUGUAUUGACACAUCUGUAAACAAAAGAACUUCAUAAUAACCCCUUUCCUAUGACACACUCAUCCAAGGAUUUGUCUGCAUUGGAAAAUGUCAUAGGGCAUCAGAAAAGUUUUGUCCUGAGUGUUCAGCUAAGGUGCAUAGCAUAUCUGUGCAGAUGAAAAAAGAGACACUUAGGAUCCAUUUCAAACAUAAGCCCAUUACCUCUGGCAGGCUCUUGCUAAAAUUCUAGCUGCAACUGAAAUGUCCCUGUAAACAAGGUUACUGAGAACAGCCCUAGAUAUUCCUCUCCACAACACUUUCCUACGAGCCCUUCAGCUGUCUGCCAGGUUAGUUAUACCUUAUCUUGCUGCACUGCCAUUCUCAUGCUGAUUCACAUUCAGAACUCAAAAUGAAAGAUGAAAUAUCUUGAAGAUCACUUAAUAUUGAAAUACUGGUGCGGUAAUAAGUGGUGCUCAGUCAGAGACGGGGACAUGGCACUCUCUUGGUAACCUUUUAAUUUCUGGAAAAAUUGUACAGAAUAAAUUGAGCAGCACACACGGAAACCUAAUCGAUUGAUCUGCUCUAUUUUGUUAAAGCAACACCCAUCACAAACUCCCCUGGCUCCCCAGGCAAUUCCCGGUAAAGAAGACCUGCAGGUUUCAGUAUAUACCAUGCACGAGGACUUCGAUGCUAUUUUGAUUUAUUAAAGAAAAGGAACGAUCUUCUAUCUACAUUCAUCACCCCAGUCAAUGGACAGUUUUAUGUGCUGUAUGAUACCAUUCUCGAUAUACACACGUUUAAUUCUACUUAAUGCAAGUUUAAAGAGUUAUGAGAGUUGCUUUAGUAAGAAUAACAAAGCCAUGCGUAACAGACAAAUGUACGCUUAAAAGACCAUCCAGGCCUGCUUCCUUAUACGCUUGAUUCUUUUUCUAUUUGAAGGAGAUGAAACCCCAUCAAUGUCACUUCAUCUCCAUCAGUGUUUUCAUGUCUCUUCUUCCUGUCAGGCAUUCCUCAGCUCGGAUUUGAGAAAUGUUCAAAUUUCCCUCUCUUUCCCACAAUGACAGAACUGUUUCUCAGGUUGGUUAACUCAUUUUGAUAACAUCAAAUCUGCUGGACAGGAAAAAAAAAAAAAAGAGAGAGAGAGAGAGAACCCUGAAAGCACUCCUCAAUCCCAUUUUUCUGUCUUUUUCUCUAAGACAUUUCCGGCUCUUUUUCUCUCUCCUGAUGCUUCUGAAUUUGGGCAUUUUCCAAACACACUCCCCUAUUUGGCCUUUGGGCAGUGUGAGAAAC
RNAcentral lists this long non-coding RNA (1301 nucleotides) under Macaca fascicularis (crab-eating macaque). Its description in RNAcentral is "lncRNA (ENSMFAG00000047530.1)". The record is from RNAcentral. Lineage: Eukaryota; Metazoa; Chordata; Mammalia; Primates; Cercopithecidae.